This 468-nucleotide ribosomal RNA is filed under the name uncultured bacterium. RNAcentral's name for it is "partial 16S ribosomal RNA". It matches the Rfam family "Bacterial small subunit ribosomal RNA", at positions 28 to 507 of the family's 1533-position model. The record is from RNAcentral.
GACGAACGCUGGCGGCGUGCUUAACACAUGCAAGUCGAACGGAAAGGCCCUGCUUUUGUGGGGUGCUCGAGUGGCGAACGGGUGAGUAACACGUGAGUAACCUGCCCUUGACUUUGGGAUAACUUCAGGAAACUGGGGCUAAUACCGGAUAGGAGCUCCUGCUGCAUGGUGGGGGUUGGAAAGUUUCGGCGGUUGGGGAUGGACUCGCGGCUUAUCAGCUUGUUGGUGGGGUAGUGGCUUACCAAGGCUUUGACGGGUAGCCGGCCUGGGAGGGUGACCGGCAACAUGGGGAGUGGGAGGGGCCCGGAAGGGCAAGGGGGGGAAGUGGGGGGAGAAUUGGCAAACGGGGGGGGGGCGGGGGAAGAAGGCGCCGGGUGGGGGAGGGCGGCUUGGGGGGUAGAAACGGCGUUGGCCGGGAAAGAGGAGGGUGUGACGGUAUUUGAUAAAAAAGCGCCGGCUAACUACGUG